GACGAACGCUGGCGGCGUGCUUCAUACAUGCAAGUCGAACGAGAAGCUUACUUCGGUGAGUGGAAAGUGGCGGACGGGUGAGUAAUGUGUAGAGAAUCUGCCCUUGAGUGGGGGACAACAGCUGGAAACGGUUGCUAAUACCCCAUAUGAGAUAUUUUGCAAUAGAUAUCUUGAAAACUCCGGUGCUCAAGGAUGAGUCUGCAUCUGAUUAGCUAGUUGGGGGUGUAAUGGACCACCAAGGCGACGAUCAGUAGCUGGUUUGAGAGGAUGAUCAGCCACAAUGGGACUGAGACACGGCCCAUACUCCUACGGGAGGCAGCAGUAGGGAAUUUUUGCGCAAUGGGCGAAAGCCUGACGCAGCAACGCCGCGUGAUUGAUAAAG
RNAcentral lists this ribosomal RNA (382 nucleotides) under uncultured bacterium. RNAcentral's name for it is "bacterial SSU rRNA". It matches the Rfam family "Bacterial small subunit ribosomal RNA", at positions 28 to 413 of the family's 1533-position model. The record is from RNAcentral.